RNAcentral lists this ribosomal RNA (375 nucleotides) under uncultured organism. RNAcentral's name for it is "partial 16S ribosomal RNA". It matches the Rfam family "Bacterial small subunit ribosomal RNA", at positions 527 to 896 of the family's 1533-position model. The record is from RNAcentral.
GUAGGUGGCAAGCGUUGUCCGGAAUUAUUGGGCGUAAAGCGCGCGCAGGCGGUUCUUUAAGUCUGAUGUGAAAGCCCACGGCUCAACCGUGGAGGGUCAUUGGAAACUGGUGAACUUGAGUACAGAAGAGGAAAGCGGAAUUCCACGUGUAGCGGUGAAAUGCGUAGAGAUGUGGAGGAACACCAGUGGCGAAGGCGGCUUUCUGGUCUGUAACUGACGCUGAGGCGCGAAAGCGUGGGGUAGCAAACAGGGAUUAGAUACCCUGGUAGUCCACGCCGUAAACGAUGAGUGCUAAGUGUUAGGGGGGUUUCCGCCCCCUUAGUGCUGCAGCUAACGCAUUAAGCACUCCGCCUGGGGAGUACGGCCGCAAGGCUG